ACGGAAACGCACGUUAUUGUAAUCAUUUCACCAUAAUAUGGGCGUAUAUUUAUAUUGUUGACAAAGCAACACUAUCAACUGAAUUCCGCUCCGAAUCGUUUUUUCGUUAACAAUGGUUCAUCGUUGCUUACAGGUAUACAUUAAACUCCCGUCUGUGUCCUAGCUUUCAAACUCCCCGCCUACAACAGUGAUUGCGGUCACACGUGAAGUGUGUCCGUUUUUUUUUUUUUUUUUUUUUUUUUUCAAACCGUUAUCACCAGAAACGCAAUCGUCCGAAAUAUUUCAAUCGCGGAUAGUGACUAUAAUAAUCUCGCGGACAACGUUGUCUGCUGCAACGGGAAACGUUGCUGUGGUUAUUCGGUCGCGCGAAACAACGACGACGGCCGUAUAAUCGAUUGUAUCGAUUACGGCGGUGUGAUGUUAUAACCCCGCCAGUUUAAUAAUAAACAUCCGACCGUUAUUCGCGGGGCGGGAACCAAUUGAUUAUCUCCCCGUUUGUCCGAUAAUCGGUGAAAUUUAUAGUACCGUGUAACCGUCGUCUCUGCAAUAAUGCUCGGGAUGAUGUAUUUUAAGUCGCGUGUAUCUGUAUUAUAAUAAUAUAAUUCAUUAUGAUAUUCGGCCAUAAAGAUCGGGUGGUCCGCUGCGGUACCGUCAAACAGUGCGGAAACUAUCGUUAGAAUUUCGUAUAUUUUGAAUUAAUUCUGCCCGCGUUAAUAGUGCGCGAUGGCGACUGGCCGUAGUGGCGGCGGCGGCGGCGGCGGCGGCGGUGGCGGCGGUGGCGGUGGUCGAUUGCUUUAUACAAACUUUGAAAUAAUAAUUAGUUCCUGUUCUUAAUUUCGCGAUAAAUUAAGAAGAAAAC
Molecule: non-coding RNA, 859 nt
Organism: Cinara cedri
Lineage: Eukaryota; Metazoa; Arthropoda; Insecta; Hemiptera; Aphididae
Source: the annotation of a GenBank genome assembly